AUACGUAGGGGACAAGCGUUAUCCGGAUUUACUGGGCGUAAAGGGCGUGUAGGCGGUCUUGCAAGUCAGAAGUGAAAUUCCUGAGCUCAACUCGGGCGCUGCUUCUGAAACUGCAGGACUUGAGGGCUGGAGGGGAUAGUGGAAUUCCUAGUGGAGCGGUAAAAUGCGCAUAUAUUUGGAAGAACACCGGUGGCGAUGGCGGCUAUCUGGACAGUAACUGACUCUCGCGCACGAAAGCGUGGGGAUCGAACAGGUUUAGAUACCCUGGUAGUCCACGCCGUAAACGAUGGGCGCUCGUCGUCGGCGGCAGACAGUCGGCGGCCAAGCGAAAGCGAUAAGCGCCCCACCUGGGGAGUACGGUCGCAAGGCUGAAACUCAAAUGAAUUGGCGGGG
Molecule: ribosomal RNA, 393 nt
Filed under: uncultured bacterium
Lineage: Bacteria
Description: partial 16S ribosomal RNA
Rfam family: Bacterial small subunit ribosomal RNA
Source: RNAcentral